Molecule: ribosomal RNA, 322 nt
Filed under: uncultured Rhogostoma
Lineage: Eukaryota; Cercozoa; Thecofilosea; Cryomonadida
Description: SSU rRNA
Rfam family: Eukaryotic small subunit ribosomal RNA (bases 56-322)
Source: RNAcentral
GAUUUCUGGACUGAAGCAUUUAGCCGGCCGCGGUUUCGCGUGUUAGUGCUGGAUGCUCUGUCCAUCCUUCCAAUCGCUAUUGGCUAUUCUUCAUUGAAUGGUCAGUAGUAUUGGAUCUUUUACUUUGAAAAAAUUAGAGUGUUUCAAGCAGGCUUUAUGCUAUGAAUACAUUAGCAUGGAAUAAUAAUUUAGGACUUCGGUUCUAUUUUGUUGGUUUCUAGGACUGAAGUAAUGAUUGAUAGGGAUAGUUGGGGGUGCUAGUAUUCAGCGGCCAGAGGUGAAAUUCUUGGAUUCGCUGAAGACUAACUUAUGCGAAAGCAUU